AUACUUCCAUUGCAUUCCAUGACGUUGUGUUUUAUUGUUAAUGUGUAGGUGGGAAACUAUCUGAAAAGAGCUGCUGUGGAUCUCGGAGUGGGAGACUUGAUCCACGGGGAGGAAUGCAUACUGUGACUGUACACAUCACUGAAUGCUUGGGACCCGGUACAACUCUGCAUUAAGGAAAUGUUCCGGCAAAAGUCACUGCUGGCGGCUGGCGCUGACCCCUACACCAAUGAAAAAUUUAAGUGAAGAAAUGGCUGAGGGGUCUUUCAAGGAGAUAGCAGGGGGUGAGCAGAUGGACUUACUCUGUUGUCUGAGCUGGGGAUCAUGGUGUCGGUCAUCCACGAGCCAAACCUUGACCCUGAUGCACGUACUGUGAUGGGAUUACUGACGCC
Sebastes umbrosus (honeycomb rockfish) is the source of this 389-nucleotide long non-coding RNA. RefSeq lists it as uncharacterized. The transcript has 3 exons. The record is from RefSeq and is a predicted model, not a curated record. NCBI's taxonomy places the organism in Eukaryota, Metazoa, Chordata, Actinopteri, Perciformes, Sebastidae.